This 447-nucleotide ribosomal RNA is filed under the name uncultured bacterium. RNAcentral's name for it is "bacterial SSU rRNA". It matches the Rfam family "Bacterial small subunit ribosomal RNA", at positions 355 to 825 of the family's 1533-position model. The record is from RNAcentral.
UCGGGAAUUUUGUGCAAUGGGCGAAAGCCUGACACAGCAACGCCGCGUGAAGGAUGAAGUCCCUCGGGAUGUAAACUUCGUAAGAAUAGGAAGAAUAAAUGACGGUACUAUUUGUAAGGUCCGGCUAACUACGUGCCAGCAGCCGCGGUAAUACGUAGGGACCAAGCGUUGUUCGGAUUUACUGGGCGUAAAGGGCGCGUAGGCGGCAUGACAAGUCACUUGUGAAAUCUCUGGGCUUAACCCAGAACGGCCAAGUGAUACUGUCGCGCUAGAGUGCAGAAGGGGCAAUCGGAAUUCUUGGUGUAGCGGUGAAAUGCGUAGAUAUCAAGAGGAACACCUGAGGUGAAGACGGGUUGCUGGGCUGACACUGACGCUGAGGCGCGAAAGCCAGGGGAGCAAACGGGAUUAGAUACCCCAGUAGUCCCUGAGCGGGCUGGCAAGGCGCAU